RNAcentral lists this long non-coding RNA (530 nucleotides) under Phaseolus vulgaris (common bean). RNAcentral describes it as "long non-coding RNA (PVUL_LNC004234)". The record is from RNAcentral. Lineage: Eukaryota; Viridiplantae; Streptophyta; Magnoliopsida; Fabales; Fabaceae.
AAUAUUUUAGUUGGGAGUGAAAAUAUUUUGGGAAGAUUUUACUAAGUGGUUUUUGGGGCAGCAUUUGAAAUGUCCAUAAUGGCACGACCAAAUGUUGGAUUUUAUUGUCAUUUGAAUACGUCCUUUGGAAACCAACGCAAACUACGGAAUAAAAUAAAGAUAAGGUGAGUACAAAGUCAUCUCAAUGAUCCAAACUACCCCAUCUUUUUUAUGCAAUGGAAUGACAAAAAAGCCCUAAAAAAUGAUUGCAGAUGGGGUGAAGAGGGUGGUAAGAUGUAAGGGUAUUGAGGGUAUUUGAGUUGGUACUAAUUCAUGAAUUAAUAGGAGGAGUGAUGUAAGAAAGGGGGAAGAGAGAGAUGUUGAUAAAUGGGGAAGGGUAAAGAAAGUGGAUGGAUGGCACGUGCCAUUGGAUGGGCAAAAUAGACAAGUUAGGUUUAAUUGUGUGGGAGACAUAGUUUCUGAAAAGCACCCAUAACCGCUUUAAGGUUUGGCGCUGUCACUCAGAGCCAUGUUCAUUAUUUUCCCUUUUC